Molecule: ribosomal RNA, 253 nt
Filed under: uncultured bacterium
Lineage: Bacteria
Description: partial 16S ribosomal RNA
Rfam family: Bacterial small subunit ribosomal RNA
Source: RNAcentral
UACGUAGGGGGCAAGCGUUAUCCGGAUUUACUGGGUGUAAAGGGAGCGUAGACGGAAUAGCAAGUCUGAUGUGAAAACCCGGGGCUCAACUCCGGGAGUGCAUUGGAAACUGUUGAUCUAGAGUGUCGGAGAGGCAAGCGGAAUUCCUAGUGUAGCGGUGAAAUGCGUAGAUAUUAGGAAGAACACCAGUGGCGAAGGCGAUUCUCUGGACUGUAACUGACGCUGAGGCUCGAAAGCGUGGGGAGCAAACAGG